UUAACAAAAACAUGUCCUUUUGAUUAUUAUUUAAGGUCUAAUCUGCCCAAUGAUGUUGUUUUUUAAUGGCCGCGAUAUUUUGAUCGUGCGAAGGUAGCAUAAUCAUUAGUUUUUUAAUUGAAAGCUGGCAUGAAUGAUUGGACGAGAGAUUUUCUGUCUCUAUUUUAUAAGUUGAAUUUUAUUUUUGAGUUAAAAAGCUUAGAUUUUUUUGAAAGACGAGAAGACCCUAUAGAGUUUUAUACUUUAUAAUUUUAGUUUGAUUUUAGUAUUAAAUCUUUUUAGUUUGUAAGUAUUUAUUUGGGGUGAUGGAAAAAUUUAAUUAACUUUUUCUUUUUAUAAUAUUGGUUUAUAGGUUUUUGAUUUACAUGUGUAGUUAAAAGAUUAAAUUACCUUAGGGAUAACAGCGUUAUUUUUCUAGAGAGUUCAUAUCGAAAGAAAAGAUUGCGACCUCGAUGUUGGAUUAAAGUUAACAUUUGGCGUAGGAGCUAAAUAUUUUAGUCUGUUCGACUAUUCAAACUUUACAUGAUCUGAGUUUAAACCGGCGUGAGCCAGGUUGGUUUCUAUCUUCAAUAUUUUAAAAUAUUUUAGUACGAAAGGACCAAAUAUUGUUUAAAUUAAUUUUUUAUUGAUUAAUAUU
This 637-nucleotide ribosomal RNA is filed under the name Agrilus smaragdinus. RNAcentral describes it as "partial 16S ribosomal RNA". It matches the Rfam family "Bacterial large subunit ribosomal RNA", at positions 1804 to 2739 of the family's 2925-position model. Lineage: Eukaryota; Metazoa; Arthropoda; Insecta; Coleoptera; Buprestidae. The record is from RNAcentral.